RNAcentral lists this ribosomal RNA (506 nucleotides) under uncultured bacterium. RNAcentral's name for it is "partial 16S ribosomal RNA". It matches the Rfam family "Bacterial small subunit ribosomal RNA", at positions 29 to 523 of the family's 1533-position model. The record is from RNAcentral.
AGUGAACGCUGGCGGUAGGCCUGACACAUGCAAGUCGAACGGCAGCACAGGAGAGCUUGCUCUCUGGGUGGCGAGUGGCGGACGGGUGAGGAAUACAUCGGAAUCUACUUUUUCGUGGGGGAUAACGUAGGGAAACUUACGCUGAUACCGCAUACGACCUACGGGUGAAAGCAGGGGACCUUCGGGCCUUGCGCGAUUGAAUGAGCCGAUGUCGGAUUAGCUAGUUGGCGGGGUAAAGGCCCACCAAGGCGACGAUCCGUAGCUGGUCUGAGAGGAUGAUCAGCCACACUGGAACUGAGACACGGUCCAGACUCCUACGGGAGGCAGCAGUGGGGAAUAUUGGACAAUGGGCGCAAGCCUGAUCCAGCCAUACCGCGUGGGUGAAGAAGGCCUUCGGGUUGUAAAGCCCUUUUGUUGGGAAAGAAAUCCAGCUGGCUAAUACCCGGUUGGGAUGACGGUACCCAAAGAAUAAGCACCGGCUAACUUCGUGCCAGCAGCCGCGGUAA